This 512-nucleotide ribosomal RNA is filed under the name uncultured bacterium. RNAcentral's name for it is "bacterial SSU rRNA". It matches the Rfam family "Bacterial small subunit ribosomal RNA", at positions 36 to 518 of the family's 1533-position model. The record is from RNAcentral.
CUGGCGGCCGUGCCUAAUACAUGCAAGUCGAACGGUCUUUCUAUGGAAGCUUGCUUCCACUGAGAAGAUAGUGGCGAACGGGUGAGUAACACGUGGGUAACCUGCCCAUAAGAGGGGGAGUAACAUCCGGAAACGGGUGCUAAUACCGCAUAGUUUUCUUGAUCGCAUGAUCGGGAAAGGAAAGACGGCCUUUGUGCUGUCGCUUAUGGAUGGACCCGCGGCGUAUUAGUUAGUUGGUGAGGUAAUGGCUCACCAAGACGAUGAUACGUAGCCGACCUGAGAGGGUGAUCGGCCACAUUGGGACUGAGACACGGCCCAAACUCCUACGGGAGGCAGCAGUAGGGAAUCUUCCGCAAUGGACGAAAGUCUGACGGAGCAACGCCGCGUGAGUGAAGAAGGUUUUCGGGAAUCGUAAAACUCUGUUGUCAGAGAAGAACAAGUUGGAGAGUAACUGCUCCAGCCUUGACGGUAUCUGACCAGAAAGCCACGGCUAACUACGUGCCAGCAGCUGC